UUUGUUGUAGAGCUCUUGUGGCUAGCGAGUCAAAUGCAGUAUAUCUGCCAAUCUCCAUUAUAUCAAAAAGAGAGAGCAACAUGUGACCAUAUGAUAUGCGAUCGUGCAAUAUCAACUAACUCUUUAUAAUAUAAACAGGGCAGAAAAAUGAAUAUAUAAAAUGUAAACAACUCAUGAAGAUACCCUUCAUAAAUAAUAAAGCAGGAUUCAAUAGAGUCUCUGAAAGUCUCUGCUGGUCAUAAAUCAAGAUAUAAUAGCAAAAAGUCAGUCGUCGAAAAUUAAGUAGAGAGAUGAAUAAUAUAGCGUUCCAACGAUGCUGAAGUGGUUGAUACACUGUCAAGAUGUACAGUGUUUCCGGAUAUUUUCCACUGUUUCGUAAUUACUUCUUCAGCACAGUAAUGGGUAGUAGAAAUAUUUCCAUGGACUGCAAAAAAUGAAUGAAACAAUAUGCCUAGUAUAUGUACUAAACAAAAGAAGCUGGGAUACAAAAUAAUGCAAUGCAAAUACAAAAAUAAAAUGGACACAUACCCCAUCUAUCAUGAGAAUAAAUGCAUACUUAGGAACAGUGCUCAUAAUUCAGUGUAGUCACUGCUAAAACACUGGAAGCUAACGAAAAGCUAUAAAGCUGUCUCCAGGUGGUGCUAGUAACAGCAAAAUGAAAUAAAAUUUAAAGGUACAGAGCUGGGAAACGCCCAAAGCUGAGGUGUCAGAUAAAGCAAUUCAAAUCCAAUUCAGAAUUUUGCCCCCCUGGAUAUAUGGUUUUAAACAUAAAAAUGAAACGGGACUCUUGCUGUCGUAACUGUUUCUCAUAAUCUUUUCUAAUGCUGAUGGGCUUCUGAUUCGCCCACAGUACCGUAAAUAACAAGUCUGUAUCUGAAUGGUUAUGAGAGAGAAAAUGUUCUACAAGGGGUGCCUCCCUGUUGGCUGGGUGUCAGGUACUGGGCAGAGGAGGAAUGGUGGAGACCGCCUCCCCAGCAUGACCCUUCCAGAGAAGAAGACAGUUCAGAAUUACAACGGUGGUUUGCGGGAAUUCACAGCUCAGAGGCAGAUGAGCAGAAAAGUUGGGAAUCGUGGGAGAGCCCAGAACAACACCCGGCUGACCCAUUGUCAUUGGAAAGCAUUCCAGACCCUCCAUCUCCCAGAACCCGGGGAGCCUUAAAAGUAGGAGAGCAAGGAGCUCAAAGACAGAGGACAUGUAGCAGCACCUGUAGAAGUGAUGAAUGAGGAAGUGGGAGAGAAGGGGGUGGAGAUUCACUCGGGACAACAACAUUAUUCAAGAGGCUGAGUUCUAUAGCCUCUCUCUGUAAAGAUUGAAAU
Non-coding RNA from Zootoca vivipara (common lizard), 1317 nucleotides. NCBI's taxonomy places the organism in Eukaryota, Metazoa, Chordata, Lepidosauria, Squamata, Lacertidae. The record is from RefSeq and is a predicted model, not a curated record.